Molecule: long non-coding RNA, 3534 nt
Filed under: Sus scrofa (pig)
Lineage: Eukaryota; Metazoa; Chordata; Mammalia; Artiodactyla; Suidae
Description: lncRNA (ENSSSCG00000049494.2)
Source: RNAcentral
GGGGCGGCGGCCACCGGGUUAGGUAGCCGGGCGCCGGGGGCGUGGAGGGCUGCAGAGUGGAGCCCAGGACAGCUGCGAUCCUGCUCGGGUUGCUUUCCUUCCUCCGUCGCCUUCUCCCUUUGCUCUGCGCUGGCCACACGGUGGGACGCCCGCGGCGACAGAAGUCUGGGCGCCCUUGUCUGAAACCUCCUGGCGAGCCUGACAAGCAGCCGCGGAGAGCAAGAUCCAUGUUCACUUAUUCCCUGGUCUAGGAGUGGAAUUUCUGGGACAUACGAUCCUUAUCCCUUAUGUUAUUACAAAUUGAAUAUAUUGAAUAUAGUUCACUGUGCUAUACAGCUCAGCUCAAGAGCCACCCCCUCCGAGUUGCCUUCUGGGAUUUAUUCAAACCAAAGUAGUCCUUCUCUUUCCUGGGACUCAGCGACUGACUCCCUCUCAGACCCACUGUUCCUGGUCACAGUUCUUUGAGUGUGUUGACCUACUUUCUCCCCUUCGGAGGGAAGGCAGAAACCAGUAAGUGUCUCCUGCGAGUACUCUUGCUUUCAGGAACGUUGAUUCUGUCUUCUGGCCCCUCGUCCUUUCCACGCUCCAUUAUCACCGCUAUACCCGCUUCAAGCAUGACCAGAUCCAAACCCUGCGUGUUGCUUACUGUCCCCGUGUUACAGCUGUGUCCACAGAGGCAGUGUAGCCCACACAUCCGGGGCAUGGGGACAGAGUCCUCCCAGCCUUCCCUUCCUGUCUACUGGCCACAGGGUUAAAUGGCAUAAGCUGCAGUGAAGUGGCUUCUGCAUGAGAAUCGUGUGGGAAUCAGCAGAGCGUCUCUGGUUUUGUGACGGGUGGCACACUGGGGACCAAGAAACGUCCCGCUUACGAUCUGUUUCCUAACCUCUGGUGUGGGCCUCCAAGAAGAGUCUUAGGUGGCUCAACUCUUCAGUUGCUUUGACAGGCAGGAUCCUUCUUUGGGCAGCGUGUCCAGGUGACUAUCAAAUACCUAUAUUGAGAUUUUCUGUGGCAGAGUGAUCAUUUUAUGCUGUCUUUACCCUUCUCAUCCUGCAUGCCGUUGCCCACUUCUCUAGCCAUCAGUUAGAAUCAUCUUUGAAAAUAUAUACUCAUUUGUUGGGAGUUCCCUUCGUAGCUCAGUGAUUGACGAAACCGGCUAGGAUUCAUGAGCAUGCGAGUUCGAUCCCUGGCCUCACUCAGUGGGUUAAGGAUCCAGCAUUGCCAUGAGCUGUGGUGUAGGUUGCAGAAGUGGCUCGGAUCUGGUGUUGUUGUGGCUCUGGCAUAGGCCAGCAGCUGUAGCUCUAGAUAGGGUGUGGCUGCAUCAUAUAAUAAACUCCAGAGUGCCUUUGGGGUUAUUGACUGGCUUUAAUACGCUGCCAUGUCUGUUCUCCAUGACCAUGGGUAAUUGAGUGUAUCUUAUUUAGCUCCCCUAUCCCUGGCUGCUUGGUCUCCUCUCCACCCCCGACUCAUCCCUGUGCACAGAGCAGAUUAUAUAUAACCAGCCUUCCUUCUAGCAUCCUAUCAGAUUUCAUCAACAUCGGGUAACAUGCAAUUUUCAAAAGGUUCCGGCUUCCUUUCUACCAGCUUCAAAAUCAUAUUGGAGUUGUAGUGGCCACAGGAGGCUGCACCGCAGCAGCUGGCUGGGGCAGGCUUCAAGUGAGCCCUCCCUCUGGCUUGCUGAGCAGGCAGCAGGUGGAGAGACAGAGCGUGGCUGCAGACCACAGUCAGGGAUCACCAGGUCCGGGCACUCUUUCAUCCUUGUGGCUGUAAAGUGUCUGUUCCCCGCCCUGAUCAUCUGGGUGGGUUGGAGACAGAAUGAAAAUAAAUAACAACAGGACCUCCGUCUUCCCAGAACCACUGGGAUGGGGCAUAAGGAUGAACAGUGGAGAGAAAGGUGAUGUUUCUGAGGAGGUGAAUGAUGGAGGGGCCAGUGAGCAAAGUUUUUACCUUAACGUGUGCCUCCAAGUUUCCCUGAGACUCAGAAGUGAGAAGAGCCCAACUGGCAGGAUGGCAGGAAGGGACGGUGCUUGGAGGAAGUUCUCGGAGCCUGUGCUGUUGUAGCAGGGCCCUCUGGUGCCACACUGUCCUAUGAAACCUUCUGUGAUGAGGGCAGUGUCCUCUGUCUACGCUCCCUAAUGUUGGCGGUCCUUAACCACAUGUGGCUUGUGAGCACUUAAACUGUGACUGGGGAGUUCCCACUGUGGUGCCGUAACGGGAUCGGUGGUGUCUCCGCAGCACCUGGACUCGUGUUCGGUCCCCAGCCUGGCACAGUGGGUUAAAAGGACCUAGCGUUGCUGCAGCUGUGGUGUAGGUCGCCACUGCGGCUCAGAUCUGAUCCCUGGCCCUGGAACUUCCAUAUGCCACAGGGCGGCCAAAAACAAACAAAAAAAAAAGUGUGGCUGGUGUGGCUGAGGAACUGAAUUUUGAGUUGCAGGUAAUUUUAAUGCAUUUAAGUUUACGUAGCUUAGGGUGGCUAGUGUUUGUCCAGCGACGGCAGAGUGGCCCUAGAGUCACCGUUGACCCGAGUGUGUGAAGGUGGUCUGUAGAGUGCUUUAAAGCACAGACUCUGCAGCCUGCAGCACUGGCAUAAAUCCCGGUUUGCCGUUUACUAACUGCACCCUUGCACCAGUUACCCAGCCUCUCUGCGCCCAUUUUCUCAUCCAUAAGAUGGAGAGCAUAACAGCGUGGACGUCGCAGAGGGCUGCUGGCAAGAUUGAGUGGAGUAAUCUAUGUAAAACCUUAACAAAGUGCCUGGUCUCUGUGAGGCUCUCAGUAGAUGGUUGCUGUCAGGAUGUUUUGUUGUUAAGAUGUUAUGAUGUUUAGUUCUCUCUUAUUUUCCUGUGCUUUGGCCCUAGUCACCGAACAUCAAUAAAUCAACCUGACUUGCUAAGUGCCUGGAGGUGUGAGGAUAAUGACAUUUGCCCUUAUUAACUCCCUUGAGCUCCAUAGCAGAGGAUCUGUUAUUUGAUUUUGUAACUUUAUUGUGUCUGAGCUCUGAAUAAAAUGAGAUUUUUUAAUGAAAGAAAAGAUGAAAUAGUCAAGGUCAGAAUAAUAACAUGAAAAAAAAUCACAUGCCCCACAUUUCCAGUUUCCCAUUCAGUGACCAGGCAUUUACUGAAUCUUUACUGAGAGACUAGUGAUUACAAGCAUAGACUCUGGAGCUAGACCGCCUGGGCUUGCGUCCAUUAUUUACUCGCUGUGUGACUUGGGCAAAGUUAUUUAACCUCUCUGUCUCUAUUUCUUCUUUGUCACUUGGGCGUAAUAAGAGUAUCUGCCUUGUAGCAUUGUUGUAAAGAUUAAAUGAAUCAAGUAAUUCCCUUGUGGCUCAGCAGGUUAAGGACCCGACGUUGUCUCUGUGAGGAUGCAGGUUCAAUCCCUGACCUCGCUCAGUGGGUUAAGGAUCCGGCAUUGCCAUGAGCUGCCACGUAGGCUACAGUUGCAGCUUGGCUCUGGUGUUGUCCUGGCUGUGGCAUAGGCCUGCAGCUGCAGCUCCGAUUCAACCCCUGACCUGGGAACUUCCACAUGCUGCAGGUGGCC